Molecule: long non-coding RNA, 539 nt
Filed under: Polistes fuscatus (common paper wasp)
Lineage: Eukaryota; Metazoa; Arthropoda; Insecta; Hymenoptera; Vespidae
Description: uncharacterized LOC122516651
Source: RNAcentral
UCGUAAUUCCCCGGUCCGUUCCGGCCACUGCAAACAUAGGAGGAGGAGGAGGAGGAACCGAGUGAACCGGUGUGCUGAUGUUGUCGGUAGUCAGUCGGAAUUCUAGCGCGUAUGCACGUGGGUUUACCCAGUACGCGCCUUUCCUUUCGGUCCAUACACCAGGAAGAAGGAUAUGGCAACACGAGGAGAAAGAUAGAAAGAGGGGAAACAAAUAUGGCUGAAACAAAAAUCGUUCUAGUUCGGGAUAAAUUUGACAUAACAGCGGCAUGGAAGGAGAUGGAUAGAUAGCAUGAAAGAAGAAAAAGAAGGAAAGAAAAAAAUGAGAAAGACAGGCGAAGGGGAAGAAGCGGUCUCCGUGGAACUGAAUUUAGAACGACGAAAGAGCUACUCUUGUCUCAAGGAAAAUGAAAUUCUGGCCUCCGUUAUCGGGUUCACCACGAAAAAGGAUUUUAAGUGCAGCAAAGUGAACGUACUAGGACGGAAGGCAUUAUCCGGGCGACAAUACACCCUAUGAAAUAGUAAAUACGAAAGCAAGGCUA